This 495-nucleotide ribosomal RNA is filed under the name uncultured bacterium. Its description in RNAcentral is "partial 16S ribosomal RNA". It matches the Rfam family "Bacterial small subunit ribosomal RNA", at positions 28 to 507 of the family's 1533-position model. The record is from RNAcentral.
GACGAACGCUGGCGGCGUGCCUAAUACAUGCAAGUCGAACGCUGAAGGAGGAGCUUGCUUCUCUGGAUGAGUUGCGAACGGGUGAGUAACGCGUAGGUAACCUGCCUGGUAGCGGGGGAUAACUAUUGGAAACGAUAGCUAAUACCGCAUAACAGUAGAUAUCGCAUGAUAUCUACUUGAAAGGUGCAAUUGCAUCACUACCAGAUGGACCUGCGUUGUAUUAGCUAGUUGGUGAGGUAACGGCGCACCAAGGCGACGAUACAUAGCCGACCUGAGAGGGUGGUCGGCCACACUGGGACGGAGACACGGCCCAGACUCCUACGGGAGGCAGCAGGAGGGAAUCUUCGGCAAUGGACGGAAGUCUGACCGAGCAACGCCGCGUGAGUGAAGAAGGUUGUCGGAUCGUAAAGCUCUGUUGUAAGAGAAGAACGAGUGUGAGAGUGGAAAGUUCACACUGUGACGGUAUCUUACCAGAAAGGGACGGCUAACUACGUG